ACCUAGGAAGACUGCAAAGAGUGUUUGCCUGAGAAAAGCAAAAGGAAAAUCACCAGUGGGCUUUCACAGCACAAGAGAGCAGCCUCAUCAAUUGCACAGCUUAUGUGGGGGAAAAUACCAGUUAGUGGGAUCAGCAUUGUGGUCACCUGCCUGGUCACUGUCACCACUCCCUGAAUCGUGUAUUCCUUGAUGAGAUGAACCUUGUUGUCUAACUAAAGGAAACCAGGAAAUAUGGAACAGUUAACUCAGAAACUCAGAGAAGUUUAGACUGAACAUUCCAGGCGCAGCUGCAAUGCCUCAGAAGAACUACUGCGGAAUUCCCUCCAUCAUGGCUCUGAUGAUUCCU
Hippopotamus amphibius kiboko is the source of this 346-nucleotide long non-coding RNA. RefSeq lists it as uncharacterized. NCBI's taxonomy places the organism in Eukaryota, Metazoa, Chordata, Mammalia, Artiodactyla, Hippopotamidae. The record is from RefSeq and is a predicted model, not a curated record. The transcript has 3 exons.